Molecule: ribosomal RNA, 616 nt
Filed under: uncultured bacterium
Lineage: Bacteria
Description: bacterial SSU rRNA
Rfam family: Bacterial small subunit ribosomal RNA (bases 1-521)
Source: RNAcentral
CCUACGGGAGGCAGCAGUGGGGAAUCUUGCGCAAUGGGCGAAAGCCUGACGCAGCCAUGCCGCGUGAAUGAUGAAGGUCUUAGGAUUGUAAAAUUCUUUCACCGGGGGACGAUAAUGACGGUACCCGGAGAAGAAGCCCCGGCUAACUUCGUGCCAGCAGCCGCGGUAAUACGAAGGGGGGCUAGCGUUGCUCGGAAUUACUGGGCGUAAAGGGAGCGUAGGCGGAUAGUUUAGUCAGAGGUGAAAGCCCAGGGCUCAACCUUGGAAUUGCCUUUGAUACUGGCUAUCUUGAGUAUGGGAGAGGUUAGCGGAACUCCGAGUGUAGAGGUGAAAUUCGUAGAUAUUCGGAAGAACACCAGUGGCGAAGGCGGCUAACUGGCCCAUUACUGACGCUGAGGCUCGAAAGCGUGGGGAGCAAACAGGAUUAGAUACCCUGGUAGUCCACGCCGUAAACGAUGAGUGCUAGUUGUCGGCAUGCAUGCAUGUCGGUGACGCGAGCUACGACAUUAAGACACUCCGCCGUCGGGAGGUACGGUCGGCGAGAAGUUAAACGUAACGUAAAGUAAGUUAGUUAGUACGUUGUUAGAGAGCGACGACGACGACGACGGAGGAGGAG